UACGAAGGGGGCGAGCGUUGUUCGGAAUUACUGGGCGUAAAGGGCGCGCAGGCGGCUCUGAAAGUCAGAUGUGAAAGCCCCGGGCUUAACCUGGGAACUGCAUCCGAUACUGGAUGGCUUGAAUCCGGGAGAGGGAUGCGGAAUUCCAGGUGUAGCGGUGAAAUGCGUAGAUAUCUGGAGGAACACCGGUGGCGAAGGCGGCAUCCUGGACCGGCAUUGACGCUGAGGAGCGAAAGCCAGGGGAGCAAACGGG
RNAcentral lists this ribosomal RNA (253 nucleotides) under uncultured bacterium. RNAcentral's name for it is "partial 16S ribosomal RNA". It matches the Rfam family "Bacterial small subunit ribosomal RNA", at positions 524 to 776 of the family's 1533-position model. The record is from RNAcentral.